GCGGGGUUGAUUCGUCCCCUGCGGAGCGAGCGGCGGGCAUAAGGCAAGAGAAAGCCGGGCAGAAAUGGCCGGAUGGCGAAGC
Molecule: non-coding RNA, 82 nt
Filed under: unclassified sequences
Description: RAGATH-28 RNA
Rfam family: RAGATH-28 RNA
About the family: Clostridiales (Firmicutes).
Source: Rfam by way of RNAcentral